AUGAACGCUGGCGGCGUGCCUAAUACCUGCCAGUCGAGCGCACAGAUGAGGAGCUUGCUCCUCUGACGUUAGCGGCGGACGGGUGAGUAACACGUGGAUAACCUACCUAUAAGACUGGGAUAACUACGGGAAACCGGAGCUAAUACCGGAUAAUAUAUUGAACCGCAUGGUUCAAUAGUGAAAGACGGUUUUGCUGUCACUUAUAGUUGGAUCCGCGCCGCAUUAGCUAGUUGGUAAGGUAACGGCUUACCAAGGCAACGAUGCGUAGCCGACCUGAGAGGGUGAUCGGCCACACUGGAACUGAGACACGGUCCAGACUCCUACGGGAGGCAGCAGUAGGGAAUCUUCCGCAAUGGGCGAAAGCCUGACGGAGCAACGCCGCGUGAGUGAUGAAGGUCUUCGGAUCGUAAAACUCUGUUAUUAGGGAAGAACAAAUGUGUAAGUAACUAUGCACGUCUUGACGGUACCUAAUCAGAAAGCCACGGCUAACUACGUG
This 496-nucleotide ribosomal RNA is filed under the name uncultured bacterium. RNAcentral's name for it is "partial 16S ribosomal RNA". It matches the Rfam family "Bacterial small subunit ribosomal RNA", at positions 29 to 507 of the family's 1533-position model. The record is from RNAcentral.